CACGCUAUAAACGAUGAGUGCUAGGUGUCGGGGGUCAAACCUCGGUGCCGCCGUAAACACAUUAAGCACUCCACCUGGGGAGUACGUUCGCAAGAAUGAAACUCAAAGGAAUUGACGGGGGCCCGCACAAGCGGUGGAGCAUGUGGUUUAAUUCGAAGCAACGCGAAGAACCUUACCAAAGCUUGACAUCCUGUUGCCCGGUCCAUAAAAGGAUCCUUUUACUUCGGUAAACAACAGAGACAGGUGG
RNAcentral lists this ribosomal RNA (247 nucleotides) under uncultured Eubacteriales bacterium. RNAcentral's name for it is "uncultured Clostridiales bacterium partial 16S ribosomal RNA". It matches the Rfam family "Bacterial small subunit ribosomal RNA", at positions 796 to 1041 of the family's 1533-position model. Lineage: Bacteria; Bacillati; Bacillota; Clostridia; Eubacteriales. The record is from RNAcentral.